This 253-nucleotide ribosomal RNA is filed under the name uncultured bacterium. RNAcentral's name for it is "partial 16S ribosomal RNA". It matches the Rfam family "Bacterial small subunit ribosomal RNA", at positions 524 to 776 of the family's 1533-position model. The record is from RNAcentral.
UACGAAGGGAGCUAGCGUUGUUCGGAAUUACUGGGCGUAAAGCGCACGUAGGCGGAUACUUAAGUCAGGGGUGAAAUCCCGGGGCUCAACCCCGGAACUGCCUUUGAUACUGAGAGUCUUGAGUCCGGGAGAGGUGAGUGGAACUGCGAGUGUAGAGGUGAAAUUCGUAGAUAUUCGCAAGAACACCAGUGGCGAAGGCGGCUCACUGGCCCGGUACUGACGCUGAGGUGCGAAAGCGUGGGGAGCAAACAGG